AGUGAACGCUGGCGGUAGGCCUAACACAUGCAAGUCGAACGGCAGCACAGUAAGAGCUUGCUCUUACGGGUGGCGAGUGGCGGACGGGUGAGGAAUACAUCGGAAUCUACUUUUUCGUGGGGGAUAACGUAGGGAAACUUACGCUAAUACCGCAUACGACCUACGGGUGAAAGCAGGGGAUCUUCGGACCUUGUGCGAUUGAAUGAGCCGAUGUCGGAUUAGCUAGUUGGCGGGGUAAAGGCCCACCAAGGCGACGAUCCGUAGCUGGUCUGAGAGGAUGAUCAGCCACACUGGAACUGAGACACGGUCCAGACUCCUACGGGAGGCAGCAGUGGGGAAUAUUGGACAAUGGGCGCAAGCCUGAUCCAGCCAUACCGCGUGGGCGAAGAAGGCCUUCGGGUUGUAAAGCCCUUUUGUUGGGAAAGAAAAGCAGCAGGUUAAUACCCCGCUGUUCUGACGGUACCCAAAGAAUAAGCACCGGCUAACUUCGUG
This 492-nucleotide ribosomal RNA is filed under the name uncultured bacterium. RNAcentral describes it as "partial 16S ribosomal RNA". It matches the Rfam family "Bacterial small subunit ribosomal RNA", at positions 29 to 507 of the family's 1533-position model. The record is from RNAcentral.